UGCAGUCGAGCGGACAGAAGGGAGCUUGCUCCCGGAUGUUAGCGGCGGACGGGUGAGUAACACGUGGGUAACCUGCCUGUAAGACUGGGAUAACUCCGGGAAACCGGAGCUAAUACCGGAUAGUUCCUUGAACCGCAUGGUUCAAGGAUGAAAGACGGUUUCGGCUGUCACUUACAGAUGGACCCGCGGCGCAUUAGCUAGUUGGUGAGGUAACGGCUCACCAAGGCGACGAUGCGUAGCCGACCUGAGAGGGUGAUCGGCCACACUGGGACUGAGACACGGCCCAGACUCCUACGGGAGGCAGCAGUAGGGAAUCUUCCGCAAUGGACGAAAGUCUGACGGAGCAACGCCGCGUGAGUGAUGAAGGUUUUCGGAUCGUAAAGCUCUGUUGUUAGGGAAGAACAAGUGCAAGAGUAACUGCUUGCACCUUGACGGUACCUAACCAGAAAGCCACGGCUAACUACGUGCCAGCAGCCGCGGUAAUACGUAGGUGGCAAGCGUUGUCCGGAAUUAUUGGGCGUAAAGGGCUCGCAGGCGGUUUCUUAAGUCUGAUGUGAAAGCCCCCGGCUCAACCGGGGAGGGUCAUUGGAAACUGGGAAACUUGAGUGCAGAAGAGGAGAGUGGAAUUCCACGUGUAGCGGUGAAAUGCGUAGAGAUGUGGAGGAACACCAGUGGCGAAGGCGACUCUCUGGUCUGUAACUGACGCUGAGGAGCGAAAGCGUGGGGAGCGAACAGGAUUAGAUACCCUGGUAGUCCACGCCGUAAACGAUGAGUGCUAAGUGUUAGGGGGUUUCCGCCCCUUAGUGCUGCAGCUAACGCAUUAAGCACUCCGCCUGGGGAGUACGGUCGCAAGACUGAAACUCAAAGGAAUUGACGGGGGCCCGCACAAGCGGUGGAGCAUGUGGUUUAAUUCGAAGCAACGCGAAGAACCUUACCAGGUCUUGACAUCCUCUGACAACCCUAGAGAUAGGGCUUUCCCUUCGGGGACAGAGUGACAGGUGGUGCAUGGUUGUCGUCAGCUCGUGUCGUGAGAUGUUGGGUUAAGUCCCGCAACGAGCGCAACCCUUGAUCUUAGUUGCCAGCAUUCAGUUGGGCACUCUAAGGUGACUGCCGGUGACAAACCGGAGGAAG
RNAcentral lists this ribosomal RNA (1131 nucleotides) under Bacillus altitudinis. RNAcentral's name for it is "bacterial SSU rRNA". It matches the Rfam family "Bacterial small subunit ribosomal RNA", at positions 56 to 1172 of the family's 1533-position model. The record is from RNAcentral. Lineage: Bacteria; Bacillati; Bacillota; Bacilli; Caryophanales; Bacillaceae.